UCUGGUUGAUUCUGCCAGUAGUCAUAUGCUUGUCUCAAAGAUUAAGCCAUGCAUGUCUAAGUAUAAGCACUUUAUACUGUGAAACUGCGAAUGGCUCAUUAAAUCAGUUAUCGUUUAUUUGAUAGUACCUUACUACAUGGAUACCUGUGGUAAUUCUAGAGCUAAUACAUGCUGAAAACCUCGACUUCGGAAGGGGUGUAUUUAUUAGAUAAAAAACCAAUGCCCUUCGGGGCUCCUUGGUGAAUCAUAAUAACUUAACGAAUCGCAUGGCCUUGCGCCGGCGAUGGUUCAUUCAAAUUUCUGCCCUAUCAACUUUCGAUGGUAGGAUAGUGGCCUACCAUGGUGGCAACGGGUAACGGGGAAUUAGGGUUCGAUUCCGGAGAGGGAGCCUGAGAAACGGCUACCACAUCCAAGGAAGGCAGCAGGCGCGCAAAUUACCCAAUCCCGACACGGGGAGGUAGUGACAAUAAAUACUGAUACGGGGCUCUUUUGGGUCUCGUAAUUGGAAUGAGUACAAUCUAAAUCCCUUAACGAGGAACAAUUGGAGGGCAAGUCUGGUGCCAGCAGCCGCGGUAAUUCCAGCUCCAAUAGCGUAUAUUAAAGUUGUUGCAGUUAAAAAGCUCGUAGUUGAACCUUGGGUCUGGCUGGCCGGUCCGCCUCACCGCGAGUACUGGUCCGGCUGGACCUUUCCUUCUGGGGAAUCUCAUGGCCUUCACUGGCUGUGGGGGGAACCAGGACUUUUACUGUGAAAAAAUUAGAGUGUUCAAAGCAGGCCUUUGCUCGAAUACAUUAGCAUGGAAUAAUAGAAUAGGACGUGCGGUUCUAUUUUGUUGGUUUCUAGGACCGCCGUAAUGAUUAAUAGGGAUAGUCGGGGGCGUCAGUAUUCAGCUGUCAGAGGUGAAAUUCUUGGAUUUGCUGAAGACUAACUACUGCGAAAGCAUUCGCCAAGGAUGUUUUCAUUAAUCAGGGAACGAAAGUUAGGGGAUCGAAGACGAUCAGAUACCGUCGUAGUCUUAACCAUAAA
This 1024-nucleotide ribosomal RNA is filed under the name Aspergillus luchuensis IFO 4308. RNAcentral's name for it is "SSU rRNA". It matches the Rfam family "Eukaryotic small subunit ribosomal RNA", at positions 1 to 1036 of the family's 1831-position model. Lineage: Eukaryota; Fungi; Ascomycota; Eurotiomycetes; Eurotiales; Aspergillaceae. The record is from RNAcentral.